Molecule: long non-coding RNA, 2352 nt
Filed under: Marmota monax (woodchuck)
Lineage: Eukaryota; Metazoa; Chordata; Mammalia; Rodentia; Sciuridae
Source: RNAcentral
GUACUUGCCUGGCAUGUGCUAAGACAGUAGAAUGAGACAGAUAUUAUUAGCUUAUAUACAUUUAUGGUUAUACUACUGGAGUGACUCUUCACCAAAAUGUACAGCCAGAAAAUGAGAAGUAGUGCUGCGUAUGUGUACAAUAUGUCAAAAAUGCAUUCUACUGUAAAAUUAAUUAAUUAACAACUAAAAAAUUAAUAAAAUAUACACACAUAAAGAAAUGAAUGUAAUCCUCCUGGGGGCUUUAAGAUUAUGUGCUGUUCAUAACUUUAAUUAAGAAAAAAUUUUAAACAUAUCCUUAUCCUGUGAAAUUAAGCAGUUUUGUAUGUUUAAGUUGUAAUUUGUAAAUGCCUUGAAACAAGCUAUUUCCUUGUAUCUUCCACAACACAUAGAAAAUUACUUAUAAUAUAUGAUUAAUAUAUUUAUUAAUAUAUGACUGAUAAAUAUCUUAUUAAUCCACUAUAAAAAGUGUUUCUGCCUAUAAUAUCAUAAUAGAAAUUUUAAGGCUCUGCUUACAGAAAAUAAUCAGAGAAACAAAGUUUUAUACAAGAUGUUACUUCCAACAUUAUUGGUAUUAGAUUUUUUUUAAAAGGAGGAAGGAUUAGGGAUUAUGAUACCCAUAGUAAGCCGUUGGGCUGUUGUGGAAAAAAUGCCCUUGGAAGCAGAGAGUCCAAACCCCCUGAAUUCUCAGCUUAUACCUAAGAGUUGUGUGAUUGAUUUCUAACUUUUGUUUUGUAAAGUGGGAAUAAUGAUAUCAUAUAGCUGUGGUUAAUGUGAAAAUUAUAUAUUAAAUAAAACUCUCUGUACAUGAUAGCUAUCAUUUCAACAUCUAUGAAGAAGAAACAGUUAACCUACAGUUAAGCCCAAUACUGCUAGCAUUUAAUUUUCUGAAUUCAACUGUACCUACUGGGUAAUAUUUUAUUACUUUCCUAGUAAAUACAAUUAAUCAUUGAAAAAGUCAGUUUUUCAGCCAAAUUUAUCAAAGCCUGCGUGAAAUAUUUUAGAUUUUUUUUUAGUUGUCAGUGAACCUUUAUUUUAUUUAUUUAUAUGUGGUGCUGAGAAUCAAACCCAGUGCCUCACACAUGCUAGGCAAGUGCUCUACCACUGAGCUACAACUCCAGCCCCUGAGUGAAAUAUUUUAAAGAUGUUUUUUUCCUCUAGCAUUGAAAAAAAGUGUGGAACACCUUGUUCAGAUUAUAAUUAUUUCACCAAAACCCAGGCAGAAGACAUUGAAAAAGUUAUGGAUAUUUUUCCUGUAAAUUAUAUUAUUCAAAUUUCCUAUAAUGAACAUGCAUUUCAGAAUCAGAAAAAUUUUAUUAAAAAUAAAUUGAAAGGCAGAGGCAAUCAUGGUGCAAAACUAAAUGAGAGGAGAGAAUUUGAGAGGAGCAAUGUGGCUUGAAAACAGCCCUACUAUUUGACACAGAUAAAGUUUGUCUGAUGUGGGGUGAAACUUCCUCUUGGUUUCUUUUCACAAAUUUAGAUUCUGGCUGAUAACAGAACCACAAAUGGUCCAAAGGACUCAAAAAACUUUCCAAAUAUUAUUUUGUUAGUUGAUGCUCACAAUUUUUAUAGGCAAUCACAUUUGUGAAAUUCUGAAACUCACAAGAGGGGAUCCACUUUCAGGGAGUCAGGGACUAGUACAACUUGGGUUUCUCAUAAGCUAGAUCCACUACUCAUGUAGGGAUCUAAAGAGAGCCUCUAGUCUUAAAAUCAUGGGAAUCCUUCCUGGCGAGAUUAAUAAAUAGCCCUAUUGAAUUAAACUGUUUCGUUCUUGUACCAUUGCUGAUGUUCAGAGGAACAGUUGCUUAUAUAAUAAUUGUUUAAUGUAUUUCAUUGGAGUUUAAUUAUAUUUAUGGUUUACUUAUUUAUUUUCACAAAAAAAUGGGGCUAAUGUGAUGAUUUGUUUCUGUUUGAUGUAUCAGGACAAAGUUGUUUGGUAUCUUUAUGUGACAAGAAAAUGAUAUGGGGAAUGAUUUAAAUUACUGCUUAUAAUAAAGAUACAAAUUCUUUGCAUUUGAAACUAAUACAGAGUUUAGAAAUGAUAUCUUAAAUGAAUAUGUCAUUCAGUUUAUUGCUUUAAAGUGAGUCUGAAGACAUUUAUAACAAUCUAGAUAAAUUUAAAAGAAAUUAUAUAUUUGGGUAUAAUAUCUUUAUAUAUGAUUCUACAUCAGCACCCACAUUAAAAAAAAGCUAUUCUAAAUAACUUGAAAUGGAAUCUUAUAAUCCCCAAAUUAUUAAAGAAUAAUCAAAGCUUUUUGAAUUCUUCAUAUAAUAUAUUCUAUUCACAGCACUUUUAAAAGGUUUAUAAGAAAGAGCCAGACUAUGAAUUAUAGAGAAAGUAAAAUCUCAUGAAAG